This 396-nucleotide ribosomal RNA is filed under the name uncultured bacterium. RNAcentral's name for it is "bacterial SSU rRNA". It matches the Rfam family "Bacterial small subunit ribosomal RNA", at positions 29 to 406 of the family's 1533-position model. The record is from RNAcentral.
AACGAACGUUGACGGCGUGGAUUAGGCAUGCAAGUCGAACGAGAAAGGUUUCGCAAGAGACCGAGUAAAGUGGCGGAAGGGUGAGUAAUGCAUAGAUAACUUACCCCUGAGAUGGGGAAUAACUACCCGAAAGGGUCGCUAAUACCCAAUAAGACCACGGGUCGGUAUGGCCUGUGUUUAAAGAUAGGGAUCCGCAAGGACCUGUCACUCAGGGAGAGGUUUAUGUCCUAUUAGCUAGUUGGUGAGGUAACGGCUCACCAAGGCGACGAUGGGUAGCCGACCUGAGAGGGUGACCGGCCACACUGGGACUGAGACACUGCCCAGACUCCUACGGGAGGCUGCAGUCGAGAAUCUUCCGCAAUGCGCGCAAGCGUGACGGAGCGACGCCGCGUGGGU